UCCUGAUAUGGUAAUAGUACCCAAAAAAAAACACCUUCUGCAAAAAAUAAGAAAGCAAAUCCCAAAUUUGCAGACAUCCCCUAAAAAAUCAGAAUACAAAGCUCGAAGAAGUCCCACGAUCAAAAUUCAAAAGCAGAAAAAUUGAAACCAAGUACAAAGAAAUCGAGCGGUAAUUGGAAUUAGGGGAUUUUCAAAACAGAAAUCCUAAUUUUAAUUCUAAAUCCCCAAAUUGAAAUUUCAAAACCCUAAUACUCAAUUUCAGAAUCCAAAUCGAAAUCAAGGUACAAUAAUUUCAUGAAUCUUGGUACCUUCAGAUCAGAGAAGCUUCGAUUUGGAGGUCGUGGUAGGAGAUGGAGGUGAAACUGUGGAAGUAUGGAUCUGGAACAUGGAGGAGUCAUAGAGGUGUGGUGGUCGAUGACUCGACGGCCGACGUGUUGAGUCUGUUGGCAGAGGAAGGAGAAGGAGGAGAGUAGAGAGUGCCGAGACGAUUC
This 491-nucleotide long non-coding RNA is filed under the name Malus domestica (apple). RNAcentral describes it as "long non-coding RNA (MDOM_LNC007920)". Lineage: Eukaryota; Viridiplantae; Streptophyta; Magnoliopsida; Rosales; Rosaceae. The record is from RNAcentral.